RNAcentral lists this microRNA (26 nucleotides) under Paspalum notatum. RNAcentral's name for it is "N11". Lineage: Eukaryota; Viridiplantae; Streptophyta; Magnoliopsida; Poales; Poaceae. The record is from RNAcentral.
CCGCACCUGCAUAGCGCUCACCACCU